UGGCGGCGUGCUAACACAUGCAAGUCGAGCCGAGAAAGGCCUUCGGGCUGAGUACAGCGGCGGACGGGUGAGUAACACGUAAGUAUCUUGCCUUUCAGUGAAGAAUACCUCUGAGAAAUUGGGGUUAAUGCUACAUACGCUCCUUCGGGAGGAAAGAUGGCCUCUUUGCUGUCGCUGAAAGAUGAGUUUGCGUACUAUUAGUUUGUUGGUGGGGUAAAGGCCUACCAAGACGAAGAUGGCUAGCCGGCCUGAGAGGGUGAACGGCCACAUUGGAACUGAGACACGGUCCAGACUCCUACGGGAGGCAGCAGUGAGGAAUUUUGCGCAAUGGGCGAAAGCCUGACGCAGCGACGCCGCGUGGAGGAUGAAGGCUUUAGGGUCGUAAACUUCUGUUAAGUGGGAAGAAAUGCACAGUCUUAAUACGGCUGUGAGAUGACGGUACCGCUAGAGAAAGCACCGGCUAACUUCGUGCCAGCAGCCGCGGUAAUACGAGGGGUGCAAGCGUUAUUCGGAAUAAUUGGGCGUAAAGGGUGCGCAGGCGGCAUGUUAAGUCAACUGUUUAAUUUCCCGGCUUAACCGGGAGUCAGCGGUAGAAACUGGUAUGCUAGAGUGUGGAAGAGAGAAGUGGAAUUCUCGGAGUAGCGGUAAAAUGCGUAGAUCUCGAGAGGAACACCGAUGGCGAAGGCAGCUUCUUGGUCCACUACUGACGCUCAUGCACGAAAGCGUGGGGAGCAAACAGGAUUAGAUACCCUGGUAGUCCACGCCGUAAACGAUGAUCACUGGACGUCAGCUCUGCUUGCAGGGUUGGUGUUGUAACUAACGCGUUAAGUGAUCCGCCUGGGGAGUACGGUCGCAAGAUUAAAACUCAAAGAAAUUGACGGGGGGUCCGCACAAGCGGUGGAACAUGUGGUUUAAUUCGAUACUACCCGAGGAACCUUACCUAGGUUUGACAUGUAUUUGACCGUCACAGAAACGUGAAUUUUCGUAGUUUACUACG
This 997-nucleotide ribosomal RNA is filed under the name uncultured bacterium. RNAcentral's name for it is "bacterial SSU rRNA". It matches the Rfam family "Bacterial small subunit ribosomal RNA", at positions 37 to 1024 of the family's 1533-position model. The record is from RNAcentral.